GAUGAACGCUGGCGGCGUGCCUAAUACAUGCAAGUCGAGCGAACGGACGCGAAGCUUGCUUCUCUGAUGUUAGCGGCGGACGGGUGAGUAACACGUGGAUAACCUACCUAUAAGACUGGGAUAACUUCGGGAAACCGGAGCUAAUACCGGAUGAUAUUUUGAACCGCAUGGUUCAAAAGUGAAAGACGGUCUUGCUGUCACUUAUAGAUGGAUCCGCGCUGCAUUAGCUAGUUGGUAAGGUAACGGCUUACCAAGGCAACGAUGCGUAGCCGACCUGAGAGGGUGAUCGGCCACACUGGAACUGAGACACGGUCCAGACUCCUACGGGAGGCAGCAGUAGGGAAUCUUCCGCAAUGGGCGAAAGCCUGACGGAGCAACGCCGCGUGAGUGAUGAAGGUCUUCGGAUCGUAAAACUCUGUUAUUAGGGAAGAACAUAUGUGGAAGUAACUGUGCACAUCUUGACGGUACCUAAUCAGAAAGCCACGGCUAACUACGUG
RNAcentral lists this ribosomal RNA (497 nucleotides) under uncultured bacterium. Its description in RNAcentral is "partial 16S ribosomal RNA". It matches the Rfam family "Bacterial small subunit ribosomal RNA", at positions 28 to 507 of the family's 1533-position model. The record is from RNAcentral.